This 85-nucleotide transfer RNA is filed under the name Felis catus (domestic cat). It matches the Rfam family "tRNA". Rfam says of the family: Transfer RNA (tRNA) molecules are approximately 80 nucleotides in length. The record is from Rfam by way of RNAcentral. RNAcentral also lists the same sequence under 2 other names. Lineage: Eukaryota; Metazoa; Chordata; Mammalia; Carnivora; Felidae.
ACCUGGGUGGCUCAAUUGGUUAAGCAUCUGACUUCAGCUCAGGUCAUGAUCUCACAGUUUGUGGGUUCAAGCCCCACGUCGGGCU